This is a long non-coding RNA of Herpailurus yagouaroundi (jaguarundi), 1293 nucleotides long. RefSeq lists it as uncharacterized. The record is from RefSeq and is a predicted model, not a curated record. Lineage: Eukaryota; Metazoa; Chordata; Mammalia; Carnivora; Felidae. The transcript is spliced from 3 exons.
AGCUCUCUGCACCCCUCCUCUCCCCCAGGACCCCCUCCAGGCUGUUGCCUCCUGUUGCCAAACCCAAGGUCACACGUCCUGCGUCUUCCUGCUCCCCCUGCCUGGCGCUCCCCUGGCUUCCUCCUCGCCUCCCUCCCCUCCCUCUCCAUCUGCUCUGGGCCCUGGUCUUCUGCCCUUUCUCGCUUUCCUGUCUCACCCAUGUCUCUCGCCCAUAGUCACCUCUGCCACCCAGACUGUUCCCUGAAGCCCAGGCCGUCCACCAGCUGGCACCUUGACGCGUCUCCUCUGCAUCCAGGGGCACCUUUGAUGCGUCGCCUCUGCACCCAGGGGGCACAUCGAAGCUGCGGUGUCCAGACUGCACUCCUGAUGCCUCCCCCAGGCGGCUCCCUGCACGACCCUCCGCGCUUAGCUCCACAAAUGGCAACCCCCCACCCCAGGGCUCAGACCCAAGUUGGGGGCACCCUCGACCCCACACCCAUGCCUGGUUCGGUAGCAAGUGGUGCUGCCAGCUCCGCCCCCAACGCACAUUCUGACACCACGCACUCCUCACCUGGCGGUCAGGAGCUUCCUCGCUCACUCACCGUCUCCUCCGCCUCUCCUUUGCCCCAGCCCGGGGGAGGUGUUCCAGCAGCCAGAGCGGUUGCACCCCAAUACCAUCAGCUUCUGUUCGGACCCUCCAGAAAGGGGCCAGGAGGCAGGGGCUUCCCUGGGACUGCCCUCCCUGCCUCCCCCGCUGACCACCCUGCAAGCCAAGAGCCGUCCACACCAGCAUCGCAAGGCCCCACAAAGCGGGGCGCAUAGACAGCGUGGCUGGUGGAGCCGAGCCCACAGGGACACACGGGGAGCCGUCUUUCUCCAGUGGCAGGUGACACAGCUAGGACGCAGCUCACGAAGCCACGCAUCCACCCUGCGGCACCCUGGGCGGAUCAGGGCCUCUCCUGAAAUCAGAAAGUGCGCUGCGGCCUGACCGACUUCAGUCCCCCCGGGUCAAAGCCUUUCCUCCCUGCCCGACACAACCUGGGCUGGCGCCUCCGGUGGAGAAGGGGGUGGGCUCCUCGCCCCUCUCCUUCUUUCCCUGCUGCUUCUCUUGAUUGGCUCCCCCGAGGGGAUGAAGGAGGAGGGCGGGCUCCCCUCCUGCCACCCACAACCGUGGCUGCCCCCAUGAUGCUGUCUCCAGCAGGGCCCCUCCCCGGCAGCGUACCCACGGCCUCCUGCUGCUGCUUCCCCGAGCCACCCCUAUUGGACCCCAGGAGGGGCUCCCCAGCUGCCUGGAUCGGAAGCAGGGAGCCCUGU